CUGAUUAUACUGUGAGAACGAAAGUUCUUGCUUUUAACUAGAUAACAACUUUCAGCAGUGGAUGUCUAGGCUCGCACAUCGAUGAAGAACGCUGCGAACUGCGAUACGUAAUGCGAAUUGCAGAAUUCAGUGAGUCAUCGAAAUUUUGAACGCAUAUUGCACUUCCGGGUUAUGCCUGGAAGUAUGUCUGUAUCAGUGUCCGUAAAUCAACCUUGCCUUUCUUCCUUCUGUGUAGUCAGUGGAGGAUGUGGCAGACGUGAAGUGUCUCGCUGUGGCUGGUUUUGAACACAGUUUGCGAGUCCUUUUAAAUGGACACGACUUUCUCUUUUUUGUUUCUGCGAGGUGCUGUGCUCGAACGCGGUGGUUUUCGGAUCGCUCGCGGCUGUUGGCGACUUCGGUGAAUGCAUUAUGGAGUGGACCUCGAUUCGCGGUAUGUUGGGCUUCGGCUGGACAAUGUUGCUUAUUGUGUGUUUGUUCCGCGUUCGCCUUGAGGUGUACUUUCUGCUGUGUGCUUGAACUGGGAUCUGCUUUGUUAGUAGUGCGCGGUGAUCGUUAUUCGCGGGGACAUCUGUUGUUGUGCAUGCUCUUAGUGUGUGCUUGAGCAGAAGAGAGGUUUGAAUUUGGGAAAGUAGU
The sequence is a ribosomal RNA, 633 nucleotides long. The stretch from base 47 to 201 matches the Rfam family "5.8S ribosomal RNA".